This is a long non-coding RNA of Halichondria panicea, 1050 nucleotides long. RefSeq lists it as uncharacterized. NCBI's taxonomy places the organism in Eukaryota, Metazoa, Porifera, Demospongiae, Suberitida, Halichondriidae. The transcript is spliced from 2 exons. The record is from RefSeq and is a predicted model, not a curated record.
UCACGUGGCUGGUAUGUCUUGAUGGGGUUGUUAUAAAACAGGGAAUGAGAAAUGAGGAAAUGAGGAAAUAAGAAAUAGGAAAUGAGGAAAUGAAGAAAUGAGAACGAGAAAUGAGCUGUUAGGCAGAGCAUAUCUAUGGGCAGAGCAAGUCUGAAGACGAAGCUAACAUCUACUGAGCAACAGGUACGUACCUCCUGGUGACAAGUCUCCUGGUGCUCUGCCACUAUACAGAACUUAUGUUCCUCUGGUACACGGUGUGACACUCUCUGCUUGUGUGCCAUGUACGACUGGCAUGGUUCAGACAUCAGAUCUACCUACCUAACGGUACUUACAUGUACUGUCCUACAGUCCCACAGUCUCAAACAAUUUACCUAUGCGUGGCUAUAUAUAAUUAUACUGGCAAUACAUUCACUGAUUUCACAAUCCGGUGGGCAAGUGAUAGUCAAUGGACUGGACUUAAUGUCAACAUCUACAUGUAAGUAACAGCAAAGAAACCUCCAAAACGUCAAACCAAGCAAAUUCUAAUGAUCUGCCAGUCCUGUCGUAAAGCUGCAGGAAGUGAAGAAAGCAAUUCCCAUUACCAUUCUCACAAGCAAUGCCUAAUGAAAGCUGAUGCUACCUUUAAUGAAGAAAGCUCACUGUGCCAUCUGAAGCGAUGGUAAAAUUUAAUUCUUACAAUGUGUCCGACAACCUGUACUGUGUGGAGGUGCCACUAUAAUUAUAUAUUUGAUAACUAAAUACUUAGUCACCUACUAGCUUCUUGGCUGAUAUCAGUCAUUACUUUUGUGCAUCUAUAAUUAUAAUAAUUAGUACAACCAGUAGGUUAGUACAACCAGUAGGUUGUACAUAGGAUUGACAGUGCAGUUGUGUGUGUUUUCAAUUAUUGCACAAAUUUUGACUUGUGUUUAGACUGCUCUAUUUCUGCAGGGAAGGACCACAGCAAGAAACUGAGUUGACAGAUAGCUUAGUUAGCCUUUUAUCUGUCUAAAUGUGUGAAAUUAUAGUCAAUGAAUAUUCUCAUGCAUUACUAUUGAUAUUUGAAAAAUUGCA